This 74-nucleotide transfer RNA is filed under the name Flavobacteriaceae bacterium UJ101. It matches the Rfam family "tRNA". Rfam says of the family: Transfer RNA (tRNA) molecules are approximately 80 nucleotides in length. Their secondary structure includes four short double-helical elements and three loops (D, anti-codon, and T loops). Lineage: Bacteria; Pseudomonadati; Bacteroidota; Flavobacteriia; Flavobacteriales; Flavobacteriaceae. The record is from Rfam by way of RNAcentral. RNAcentral also lists the same sequence under 1 other name.
GGCCACGUAGCUCAAUUGGAUAGAGUACUUGAUUACGGCUCAAGAGGUUGGGGGUUCGACUCCUCCCGUGGUCA